GCCAGACUCCUACGGGAGGCAGCAGUGAGGAAUAUUGGUCAAUGGGCGGGAGCCUGAACCAGCCAAGUCGCGUGAGGGAAGACGGUCCUACGGAUUGUAAACCUCUUUUGCCGGGGAGCAACGGGGUCCUUGCGAGGGCCCGAUGAGAGUACCCGGAGAAAAAGCAUCGGCUAACUCCGUGCCAGCAGCCGCGGUAAUACGGAGGAUGCGAGCGUUAUCCGGAUUUAUUGGGUUUAAAGGGUGCGUAGGCGGAAUGCCAAGUCAGCGGUAAAAUCGCGGGGCUCAACCUCGCUCCGCCGUUGAAACUGGCGUUCUUGAGUGGGCGAGAAGUAUGCGGAAUGCGUGGUGUAGCGGUGAAAUGCAUAGAUAUCACGCAGAACUCCGAUUGCGAAGGCAGCGUACCGGCGCCCAACUGACGCUCAUGCACGAAAGCGUGGGUAUCGAACAGGAUUAGAUACCCCAGUA
Molecule: ribosomal RNA, 465 nt
Filed under: uncultured bacterium
Lineage: Bacteria
Description: bacterial SSU rRNA
Rfam family: Bacterial small subunit ribosomal RNA
Source: RNAcentral